This 597-nucleotide long non-coding RNA is filed under the name Homo sapiens (human). RNAcentral describes it as "HSALNT0063361". The record is from RNAcentral. Lineage: Eukaryota; Metazoa; Chordata; Mammalia; Primates; Hominidae.
GGGGGGAGGAGCAGGCAUGGCGGGCUGCAGGUCUGGAGCCCUGCCCCGCGGGAAGGCAGCCAAGGCCUGGUGAGAAAUCGAGCGCAGCACCGGUGGGCCGGCACUGCUGGGGGACCCAGCACACCCUCCGCAGCCGCUGGCCCAGGUGCUAAGCCCCUCAUUGCCCGGGGCCGGCAGGGCCGGCCAGCAGCUCCAAGUGUGGGGCUCCCCGAGCCCACACCCACCCGGAACUCGUGCUGGCCCGCAAGCACAGCGCACAGCCCCCGUUCCCGCCUGCGCCUCUCCCUCCACACUCCCCACAAGCUGAGGGAGCGGGCUCCAGCCUAGGCCAGCCCAGGAAGGGGAUCCCACAGUGUAGUGGCGAGCUGAAGGGCUCCUCAAGUGCCGCCAAAGUGGGAGCCCAGGCAGAGGAGGCACCAAGAGCGAGCAAGGGCUAUUAAAAAGAAAAACAUAAGGCUGGGAGCAGUGGCUCACACCUGUAAUCCAGGCAACUCGGGAGGCUGAGGCAGGUGGAUCACUUGAGGUCAGGAGUUCGAGACCAGCCUGGCCAACAUGGUGAGUCCCACAUCUCUACUAAAAAUACAAAAAUUAGCCAGG